This is a long non-coding RNA of Episyrphus balteatus (marmalade hoverfly), 886 nucleotides long. RefSeq lists it as uncharacterized. The transcript has 2 exons. Lineage: Eukaryota; Metazoa; Arthropoda; Insecta; Diptera; Syrphidae. The record is from RefSeq and is a predicted model, not a curated record.
UUUGUUCAGUUCCUAACUAUUCGAAUUGAAUUGUUUAAAAUAUUUUUCGCUGCUAAUUGUAGAGAAAAGAUUAUUACACUAAGCUGAAAAUAUCAAUAAAAUAUAGAAAAAUAUCCACGAAAAAGUAAAAUAAAAGACAUUUUGUUUGCUGGAAUAAAAAACUCGAAAAGAUGUUGUUUUAUUUAAACGCAAUAAUCUGUAAAAUAAAAGAAAAUGAAUUAAUAAAAUAAAAUUAACAAAUAAAUAAAUAAAUUAAUAAAAGCUCAAGCCAAUAAAAAAGCAAAUCGCACAAACGAUUGUUAUUAUUGACUCAGAAUUCAUUUUUCGCUUCAAAAACCGCUGAAAUUUCCAAAAUUUAGUUUUUACCCACUGUAAAAACAGAUUAUAUUUCUGAAAAUAAAAAAAAAAAACAUAGCAAUCAAUCAAUCAAAUAAAUAAAAAAUAUAAAUAAAAAAAAAUAAAUAUCAAAAUUCAAUAAAUUACCGAAAAAUGGACCCUCCUGCGAAUCCUGACCACCCUCGUCCUGGUCACUAUGACAUUUUGUUGCGGGAAAUAUAUUAUUCCCAAGUUCGGCUUUAAAAAAAAGAAAAAAGAACAAUAUAUGUCAAGAUUUUCAAAAAAUUAAAUUCAAGAAAUAUAAAAAUCGGGGCUUACCAGGACAUGUGGCCCAUCCCCGAUUAUUUCGAUGGGCUGCAAUGGUAUCGGCAUUCUUACCAGAUUAUUGGGCCUCCCAAACCAGGUCCUUGGAUUGGACCACUCCCUGCCGCGGAACUAUAUUAAAAAUUAAAUAUAAUUAAAAACCAUUGUUUCAACAUUAGAAAUAAUUUAACUUACAUGUCUUAUAAAAGCUCUGUCCAUUAAAUUUUCCAUAAUUUAAAUUCUUUUA